RNAcentral lists this ribosomal RNA (451 nucleotides) under uncultured bacterium. RNAcentral's name for it is "partial 16S ribosomal RNA". It matches the Rfam family "Bacterial small subunit ribosomal RNA", at positions 28 to 523 of the family's 1533-position model. The record is from RNAcentral.
GAUGAACGCUGGCGGCGUGCCUAAUACAUGCAAGUCGAACGAGCUCUUCGGAGCUAGUGGCGGACGGGUGAGUAACACGUUGGUACCUACCCCGAAGUGGGGAAUAACUGGCCGAAAGGUCGGCUAAUACCGCAUAAUACCGUAAGGUUAAAGCAGUAAUGCGCUUCGGGAGGGGCCUGCGUCCCAUUAGCUUGUUGGUAGUGUAAUGGACUACCAAGGCGACGAUGGGUAGCUGGAUCGAGAGGUUGACCAGCCACACUGGGACUGAGAUACGGCCCAGACUCCUACGGGAGGCAGCAGUAAGGAAUCUUCCACAAUGGACGAAAGUCUGAUGGAGCAACGCCGCGUGCAGGAUGACGGCCUUCGGGUUGUAAACUGCUUUUAUAUGCGAAGAUUAUGACGGUACCAUAUGAAUAAGGACCGGCUAACUACGUGCCAGCAGCCGCCGUAA